AGGUGACUUGACAAAGAAUGCUCAAGCUGGCAUGCCAUAAUCUUGGAAUUAGUUAUUUCACAGAGUUUUAGGGCUACCAGAUUACUCUUGCUCCAGUCAGUGCACAUGAUCUAAGCUCAGGGGCUCGUACUAUUCAUUUUGAGUUACGGAGCGUUACUAUGUGGAGAGCUGCUUGAUACAAUUGAGAGGAUCUGUAUGUGGAGAGGAGGACGAAACCCAGUAUUAGGGCUCCGCUACAGCUAGGGUAUUGGUCGUGUUAAGUCUCCUUUUGGGUGAAGAAGGCGAUACAGAAUGAGCAUGCAAUAGGGCAUUGAGUUGAGGGACUAAAAUACUCAGUACAUGAUCUCCAGGAGCGUUGUACUCGACCGUAAUCAUAAUUGACACCCUGAUCAUUCUUAAAACUUCUCGAUUCUGGACUGAUCUGCUGUUUUAGAUCCAUCACCUGAAACAUAGCUUAAUUUCACAAGUCCCACUCCUCAAGUUCGUCAUUGCACAUCUGAAUGUGUCGUAAUCAGUCAUUCUGUUUGUUUGCUUGCCGUUUUUUUAAAUUUGUUCUAAUUUUUUUGGUUUAGCAUCGAUCAGGCAAGAUUAGGGAUUUCACAGCUGAGGAAUGUGCCGUUCUCUUUGCGCUGAAACUUGGAGAUUGGGUUUUUCAUCGCGAUAUGUAAAUAUCAAUGUCAGUGGAAUCAAACUCGGGGCUGCUGCUGUCAGGUGCCCUGGCGUUCUCCCGAAACGAAUGAUUUAAUUCGUUUCUCUGCACGAAGUUCAGAGUUAACGUGCUUAGCCGACUUCAACUUUAUGAUGUGGCCGAGAGAAUUACUGUUGAUCAUAUGAUAUCAGAUUCUUGUGGUGAGUACGGCAUCGAAAACUAAGAGAGCAGGAAACGACACCAGUUCAAAUGGUGUGAAUAAUUUGUAUAAAUGGUAAUUUUUAUGGGACCGAAGAAUAUCUACAAAUUUGUGAAGGCAUGCUGAGACCCACGCACUUGAUAUCGUUCUGGCCACGAGGUUGGUAACGCACAGCAGCCUCUUCAUUGCCGCACUCAAAUUGCCUCUGUGUGAUUGUUUGUCUGAGACGUCCUGGUGACUUACAUUGACGAAUCAGAAGAUGACGUGCAUUGGACUUUCUCGGAAGAGAUCAUGUAAAUAAGUUAUUUGUUUACAUCACAAUACUUAGUUUCUUCACUUUCCUUGGACAUGCACAGCUCUGAACCAUAGCUCAUGAAAUCCAACUUAUCAGAGGUAUUUUAUUUCUUUGUUUUAGAUGCAAGUAAGUGGGUGCAUAUGUAGAGUUUCAACCAAUGUUCUCGGUAAAUCUCAACAUCUGAAUGGGACGAUAGGCUGUAGGGUUUCUGCUGUUGGUUUUAAUAAAUGUGAUUAUCGUGUUUUCGAAGUUGUACUUGGCAGACGAGCCCCAGCAUUGUGUACGGCUUUUGGAAGUGAAGGAGCAUAAUGAUGCGCAUUGUGCAAACAGCCAGUGGGUUUGCAUUGGCAUUCUGCUUACUGUCCGUCGAAAUUAGCUCAUCACGUAAAUUCCUGCCUGUCUCUUCAUGACUGUUCAGCGGAAAGGAAUUGUCUUCAUGAGUUGAAGGUAAGGAGAGCAAUUACACUUAUAGAUAUAUAUUUUCAAUAUUCCGUUUCAGGUGACGCAGCAUGUUCUUACACUAAUCCAGAAUCGCAACUGCAAGUGUUGGGAAACUUGAAUUCUCGUCGCGCAGAAUAAAUGCCUUGUGCACAUUCAAGCGGAGGUCUCACCUAUCAUGUCGGCCAAGGGUGAAAAAGCCCAUAUCCUUCGCAACAAGAAGAAUCGGUGCUGAAGAUGGUCCAACUUACUGGAGUGUUUACCACAACAUAAAGGACGAUGAAGAAGAUGAAAUUAAAUGCUCAUCUAUUCAUAGCAUUGUACGAUUAGCGAUCGACAUUAAGAUACUACGCCAGCGUGAUGUCAGAUUUUUCUGUAAACUAUAGAGGAGGCUCAAAGUAACGAGGUGUCAUCGUGAACUACAAAUGUACUACCAAAUGUUUUUAAGUCAGGCGAAUGCGUGAUGCUUAAGGCUCUUCUUACGAUCACUCCGAUUGCAGCUGUUACUUAUCAAAAGCAAUUGGCAAUCUCCGUUCUAAAACUUUCUUUCUUUCCCCCUCACUCUCUCACUCUCUAUCUUGUUUGUUUGAUUUGAUUUGAUUUGUUUUUGUUUUUGUUUGUUUGUUUGUUUUGUUUUGUUUUGUUUUUUCUUUUGUUUUGUUUUUUGGUGCAGCGAUGCUGCAGUUGAUGAUUAUCCAUUCACGUCAAGUCAUCUCAAAUUAAAAUCAGUAAUAACGGUAAUUCUGGAAGGUGAGGUAUUUCAGCUGAGUUCGGGGAGUGGUGGUGAAUCGCAGCCGUACUGCUUCUUCGGAAACAAUCCUGAAGGAUCCGGAAUGUGGGCCAGAGAAAGGAAAAGGAAUCCGACGAGGGUGCGCCUCGUGGAAGACCCAAAUCUGAGAGGGGGCAAGGCGAGGCCGGAGAGGGUGUUGUACGAACUCGUUUUCUCCUUGACUCUGAUUAAGCAGGGUUGGGAGCUCAAAUCCUGCCAAUCUAGCUUGUAAACAGAAGUUAAUUUAUUAUUGCUUAUUAUUGUGGGAAACGACAAUGCCCACAAUGGCGCGGGCUGUAGAUGCUCUGGCCAUGAAGGCUCUGUCGCCUCUCUCCUCAGGGUUCCUACGACCCACCACUUCCUGUUGCAACUUAUUAUGUUUUUAAUUUUUUACCCUUAGUAUUAGCAGUUCUCUGAA
Physcomitrium patens is the source of this 2768-nucleotide non-coding RNA. NCBI's taxonomy places the organism in Eukaryota, Viridiplantae, Streptophyta, Bryopsida, Funariales, Funariaceae. The record is from RefSeq and is a predicted model, not a curated record.